UCUCCGUUGGUGAACCAGCGGAGGGAUCAUUACAGGACUCGCAAGACUCCUUCACCCUGUGAACCUCACUACAAGCACGUUGCUUCGGCGGGUGUCCCGGCGGGGGUUUUCCCUCGCCGGGGCGCACAGCCCGCCGGCAGCCUACUAUACUCUGUCUCUUUGCGUUGGUAUCUCGAGAAAAAACAAACAAGUUAAAACUUUCAACAACGGAUCUCUUGGUUCUG
This 224-nucleotide unclassified non-coding RNA is filed under the name plant metagenome. Its description in RNAcentral is "partial contains small subunit ribosomal RNA, internal transcribed spacer 1, and 5.8S ribosomal RNA". The record is from RNAcentral.